This 641-nucleotide long non-coding RNA is filed under the name Olea europaea (common olive). Its description in RNAcentral is "long non-coding RNA (OEUR_LNC009662)". The record is from RNAcentral. Lineage: Eukaryota; Viridiplantae; Streptophyta; Magnoliopsida; Lamiales; Oleaceae.
AGGUUUUCAUAUUGGAUCUUGAAGCUACCCUUGCUCCCCUCUCCAAGUCAUAUCAUGCAGCUGAAAAUGACUGUUUAAACAAUGUGAACAUUUUGGAAUCUUCUUUACCCUUAGCCAAUACCAGUCUUCAGCCUACUAACUUGAGCAAUGACAGUUCUCAGAAUUCUACCCAGUCUCAAGGAUAUGUUCCCACUUGCACAAGCUUGUGUUAUCAUUCUAUAUCAUAGUGGAACAAGUUAUGCUGCCUGCUCUUUUUCGCAUAAUAUUUACGUUUCACUUAUUCUUUGGCAACAAGAAAGUGAAAUAGAUGGUACUAUUCUACCAACUUUGUGCUUAAGUAGACUUAAAUCAUGCAAAGUAAAUUGAUAUUGUUUUUGGUGAUAUUGCUUUUCUUAACUAAUAGUUUUUCAUUGUUAGCAAAGAGUGUAUCGAUCUUCAUUUUUUCUUCGGCCUCUGGAUGGACUGCUGACACAAGCUCCAACUUCUAUUUCAUCUGUUGUACCUCUAUUGAUAGCAAUCUCUACGACUCGGCUUCUUCACAUUUUCCAAUUGCCUCUGGUAAGCAAACAAGGGGUGCCCUGCAUAUUCUUUCAGGAAGGGUACUGUUUUAAAAGGUGACUCGUGUCUUCUGUGGGUUCAGU